CACACCCCACACAUUUAAGCCGGCCGUUUCAUGUCUUAAAAUGAAGAGGUGUGCUCGUUGUGGGAACAU
This is a non-coding RNA of Tribolium castaneum (red flour beetle), 69 nucleotides long. The record is from RefSeq and is marked provisional. NCBI's taxonomy places the organism in Eukaryota, Metazoa, Arthropoda, Insecta, Coleoptera, Tenebrionidae.